ACCUUAUCCUGGUUAAAAUAAUGAUUAAUGAGUGUAAUAUAGAGAAUUAUAUACAGAUUAAGGAAUUAUAAUAUCCACAAAAUUAUAUAUACCAUGAAGACAUCAAAUUCAUCAAGGAAAUAAAAAGAGGAUGCUGGAAACAAUGACUCGAAAUCGAAAGAACCUAAAUUCUGGUAAAGAGAUACUAUUAGUCAUAAAAAAAUUGUAAUUGUCAGAGUUUCUUGGGAAAUAACAUCGUACAAAAUGUGCAAGUUUAUAAAUUCUGGCUAGAUUUAUGACAUGGAAUAACGUACUUGAAAUUGUUUUAUACGAUGCUAUGGCACUAUCUUUUUCAUUAUCUAUAAUACGAACUUCUUCUUCCAAUGCACUAAUCAUAAAAAGGAAUUUUAUGACAUUUAAAGUAAAAAUAAACAGGUACAACAAUAAACGGAAGAAAGUUCAUACUUAAUGG
This is a long non-coding RNA of Bombus terrestris (buff-tailed bumblebee), 451 nucleotides long. RefSeq lists it as uncharacterized. Lineage: Eukaryota; Metazoa; Arthropoda; Insecta; Hymenoptera; Apidae. The transcript is spliced from 3 exons. The record is from RefSeq and is a predicted model, not a curated record.